Molecule: ribosomal RNA, 255 nt
Filed under: uncultured bacterium
Lineage: Bacteria
Description: partial 16S ribosomal RNA
Rfam family: Bacterial small subunit ribosomal RNA
Source: RNAcentral
GCAAGUCGAACGAGAACGGAUUAAAGCUUGCUUUAAUUGUCAGCUAAGUGGCGCACGGGUGAGUAAUAUAUAGGUAACAUGCCCUAGAGAGGGGGAUAACAGAUGGAAACGUCUGCUAACACCCCAUAUGCCUUUAAGUCUUAAGACUGCAAGGGAAACAUUUAUGGCUCUAGGAGUGGCCUGUGCGGUAUCAGUUAGUUGGGGAGGUAAUGGCUCACCAAGACAAUGACACCUAGCUGGUUUGAGAGGAUGAGC